This 383-nucleotide ribosomal RNA is filed under the name Pantoea sp. CAS53. RNAcentral's name for it is "bacterial SSU rRNA". It matches the Rfam family "Bacterial small subunit ribosomal RNA", at positions 970 to 1354 of the family's 1533-position model. The record is from RNAcentral. Lineage: Bacteria; Pseudomonadati; Pseudomonadota; Gammaproteobacteria; Enterobacterales; Erwiniaceae.
CUUACCUGGUCUUGACAUCCACGGAAUUCGGCAGAGAUGCCUUAGUGCCUUCGGGAACCGUGAGACAGGUGCUGCAUGGCUGUCGUCAGCUCGUGUUGUGAAAUGUUGGGUUAAGUCCCGCAACGAGCGCAACCCUUAUCCUUUGUUGCCAGCGGUCAGGCCGGGAACUCAAAGGAGACUGCCAGUGAUAAACUGGAGGAAGGUGGGGAUGACGUCAAGUCAUCAUGGCCCUUACGACCAGGGCUACACACGUGCUACAAUGGCGCAUACAAAGAGAAGCGACCUCGCGAGAGCAAGCGGACCUCAUAAAGUGCGUCGUAGUCCGGAUUGGAGUCUGCAACUCGACUCCAUGAAGUCGGAAUCGCUAGUAAUCGUGAUCAGAA